Molecule: ribosomal RNA, 626 nt
Filed under: uncultured bacterium
Lineage: Bacteria
Description: bacterial SSU rRNA
Rfam family: Bacterial small subunit ribosomal RNA
Source: RNAcentral
UGAGUUUGAUCCUGGCUCAGGAUGAACGCUAGCGGAACGCCUAACACAUGCAAGUCGAACGAGAAUCUAUCUUCGGAUAGAGGAAAGUGGCAAACGGGCGAGUAACGCGUGUCUAACCUGCCCUGGAGUGGAUGACAACUAUGGAGACAUAGCUAAUCACCCAUACGCCCUUAUGAAUGAAAAUAGUAAGGGGAAAGAUUUAUCGCUCUAGGAGGGGGAUGCGUCCUAUCAGUUAGUUGGUGAGGUAACGGCUCACCAAGACGAUGACGGGUAGCCGGUCUGAGAGGAUGUCCGGCCGCAAUGGAACUGAGACACGGUCCAUACUCCUACGGGAGGCAGCAGUGGGGAAUAUUGCGCAAUGGGCGAAAGCCUGACGCAGCGAUUCCGCGUGGAGGAUGAAGCCUUAAGGGGUGUAAACUCCUUUUCUGGAGGAAGACGAAUGACGGUACUCCAGGAAUAAGGGACGGCUAACUACGUGCCAGCAGCCGCGGUAAUACGUAGGUCCCAAGCGUUAUCCGGAGUUACNNNNCGUAAAGCGUCUGCAGCCGGGUAUAUAAGUCUAUUUUCAAAGACUACGACUCAAUCGUAGGAAGGGAAUAGAUACUGUAUACCUAGAGGAUUUUAGA